RNAcentral lists this ribosomal RNA (539 nucleotides) under uncultured bacterium. RNAcentral's name for it is "bacterial SSU rRNA". It matches the Rfam family "Bacterial small subunit ribosomal RNA", at positions 356 to 896 of the family's 1533-position model. The record is from RNAcentral.
GAGGAAUAUUGGUCAAUGGACGUAAGUCUGAACCAGCCAAGUAGCGUGCAGGAUGACGGCCCUAUGGGUUGUAAACUGCUUUUGUAUGGGGAUAAAGUCAAUCACGUGUGAUUGUUUGCAGGUACCAUACGAAUAAGGACCGGCUAAUUCCGUGCCAGCAGCCGCGGUAAUACGGAAGGUCCGGGCGUUAUCCGGAUUUAUUGGGUUUAAAGGGAGCGUAGGCUGGAGAUUAAGUGUGUUGUGAAAUGUAGACGCUCAACGUCUGACUUGCAGCGCAUACUGGUUUCCUUGAGUACGCACAACGUUGGCGGAAUUCGUCGUGUAGCGGUGAAAUGCUUAGAUAUGACGAAGAACUCCGAUUGCGAAGGCAGCUGACGGGAGCGCAACUGACGCUGAAGCUCGAAGGUGCGGGUAUCGAACAGGAUUAGAUACCCUGGUAGUCCGCACAGUAAACGAUGGAUGCCCGCUGUUGGUACUUGGUAUCAGCGGCUAAGCGAAAGCAUUAAGCAUCCCACCUGGGGAGUACGCCGGCAACGGUG